This 329-nucleotide unclassified non-coding RNA is filed under the name soil metagenome. RNAcentral's name for it is "partial contains 5.8S ribosomal RNA, internal transcribed spacer 2, and large subunit ribosomal RNA". The stretch from base 1 to 120 matches the Rfam family "5.8S ribosomal RNA", at positions 35 to 154 of the family's 154-position model. The record is from RNAcentral.
GAUGAAGAACGUAGCGAAAUGCGAUAAGUAGUGUGAAUUGCAGAAUUCAGUGAAUCAUCGAAUCUUUGAACGCACAUUGCGCCCCUUGGUAUCCCGAGGGGCAUGCCUGUUCGAGCGCCAUUUCACCACUCAAGCCUGGCUUGGUGUUGGGCGACGUCCCCUUUGGGGACGCGCCUCGAAACGCUCGGCGGCGUGGCACCGGCUUUAAGCGUAGCAGAAUCUUUCGCUUUGGAAGUCGGGGCCCCGUCUGCCGGAAGACCUACUCGCAAGGUUGACCUCGGAUCAGGCAGGGAUACCCGCUGAACUUAAGCAUAUCAAUAAGCGGAGGA